UACGGAGGAUGCAAGCGUUAUCCGGAAUGAUUGGGCGUAAAGGGUCCGCAGGUGGCAGUGUAAGUCUGCUGUUAAAGAGUGAGGCUCAACCUCAUAAAGGCAGUGGAAACUACAUGGCUAGAGUGCGUUCGGGGCAGAGGGAAUUCCUGGUGUAGCGGUGAAAUGCGUAGAGAUCAGGAAGAACACCGGUGGCGAAAGCGCUCUGCUAGGCCGCAACUGACACUGAGGGACGAAAGCUAGGGGAGCGAAUGGG
Molecule: ribosomal RNA, 253 nt
Filed under: uncultured bacterium
Lineage: Bacteria
Description: partial 16S ribosomal RNA
Rfam family: Bacterial small subunit ribosomal RNA
Source: RNAcentral